GAUGAACGCUGGCGGCGUGCCUAAUACAUGCAAGUCGAGCGAACAGAUGAGGAGCUUGCUCCUCUGACGUUAGCGGCGGACGGGUGAGUAACACGUGGAUAACCUACCUAUAAGACUGGGAUAACUUCGGGAAACCGGAGCUAAUACCGGAUAAUAUAUUGAACCGCAUGGUUCAAUAGUGAAAGACGGUUUUGCUGUCACUUAUAGAUUGAUCCGCGCCGCAUUAGCUAGUUGGUAAGGUAACGGCUUACCAAGGCAACGAUGCGUAGCCGACCUGAGAGGGUGGUCGGACACACUGGAACUGAGACACAGUCAAGACUCCUACGGGAGGCAGCAGUAGGGAAUCUUACGCAAUGGGCGAAAGCCUGACAGAGCAACGCCGCGUGAGUGAUGAAGGUCUUCGGAUCGUAAAACUCUGUUAUUAGGGAAGAACAAAUGUGUAAGUAACUAUGCACGUAUUGACGGUACCUGAUCAGAAAGCCACGGCUAACUACGUG
This 497-nucleotide ribosomal RNA is filed under the name uncultured bacterium. Its description in RNAcentral is "partial 16S ribosomal RNA". It matches the Rfam family "Bacterial small subunit ribosomal RNA", at positions 28 to 507 of the family's 1533-position model. The record is from RNAcentral.